GAUGAACGCUAGCGGCAGGCCUAAUACAUGCAAGUCGAACGAGAUUAAGAGGCUUGCUUCUUAUGAAAGUGGCGCACGGGUGCGUAACGCGUAUGCAACCUACCUUAAUCAGGGGGAUAGCCCGAAGAAAUUCGGAUUAAGACCGCAUAAAAACACAGGAUAGCAUUAUCCAAUGUUCAAAUAUUUAUAGGAUUAAGAUGGGCAUGCGUGUCAUUAGCUAGUUGGCGGGGUAACGGCCCACCAAGGCGACGAUGACUAGGGGAUCUGAGAGGAUGACCCCCCACACUGGUACUGAGACACGGACCAGACUCCUACGGGAGGCAGCAGUAAGGAAUAUUGGUCAAUGGAGGGAACUCUGAACCAGCUAUGCCGCGUGCAGGAAGACAGCCCUCUGGGUCGUAAACUGCUUUUAUUCGGGAAUAAACCUUUCUACGUGUAGGAAGCUGAAUGUACCGAAGGAAUAAGGAUCGGCUAACUCCGUG
Molecule: ribosomal RNA, 482 nt
Filed under: uncultured bacterium
Lineage: Bacteria
Description: partial 16S ribosomal RNA
Rfam family: Bacterial small subunit ribosomal RNA
Source: RNAcentral